RNAcentral lists this ribosomal RNA (374 nucleotides) under uncultured fungus. RNAcentral describes it as "eukaryotic LSU rRNA". The stretch from base 1 to 123 matches the Rfam family "5.8S ribosomal RNA", at positions 30 to 154 of the family's 154-position model. Lineage: Eukaryota; Fungi. The record is from RNAcentral.
GCAUCGAUGAAGAACGCAGCUAAACGCGAUAUUCAAUGGGAAUUGCAGAAGCAUGAGACUCAUCAGGUCGUCGAACGCAUUUGCGGGUCAGGCUCGCCUGAACCCAUCGGCUGUAGAGUGUCGCUUAAAAAUCUAAUCCCUACUGGUUGAUUUGGCGAUACUUCGGUAUGGUUAAUGAGAUUGGAAGGUGGAUUUGGCUGUGGCCUUGAAAGGGGACUCGGUUGAAGUACAGGGCUUUCUAGCCUUGAGCGCAAUCCGUUGCGGUCACGUGGGACUUGUCUUACAACGGCCACAUUGAUUGUGUAUUACUUCUUAACGACCUCUGCAGUUGAAGAUCUACGCGCUGAACUUAAGCAUAUCAAUAAGCGGAGGAA